GCUUGCGUGGUCCAAUGGUUAGGAUUCCACCCUUCCAUUACCAUAUGAAAGGUGGAGGUUAGUCUUAACUAUCAACUUGUCACAAAACCAUAUACUUACAAUUAUCAGGUUCGUGUUCGAUUCACGGCGCUUGCA
Molecule: non-coding RNA, 135 nt
Organism: Xylogone sp. PMI_703
Lineage: Eukaryota; Fungi; Ascomycota; Leotiomycetes
Source: the annotation of a GenBank genome assembly